GACGAACGCUGGCGGCGUGCUUAACACAUGCAAGUCGAACGCGCCUGUCCUCUGGGUUUCUGGGGGGUGGGUGAGUGGCGAACGGGUGAGUAACACGUGAGUAACCUGCCCCCUUCUUCGGGAUAACGGUCUGAAAGGGCUGCUAAUACCGGGUAUUCACUGGUCUCCGCAUGGGGUCUGGUGGAAAGGUUUUUUUCUGGUGGGGGAUGGGCUCGCGGCCUAUCAGCUUGUUGGUGGGGUGAUGGCCCACCAAGGCUUUGACGGGUAGCCGGCCUGAGAGGGUGACCGGUCACAUUGGGACUGAGAUACGGCCCAGAAUCCUACGGGAGGCAGCAGUGGGGAAUAUUGCACAAUGGGCGCAAGCCUGAUGCAGCGACGCCGCGUGAGGGAUGGAGGCCUUCGGGUUGUGAACCUCUUUCGCCCGUGGUCAAGCCGCGACGUGGGUCGUGGUGAGGGUAGUGGGUAAAGAAGCGCCGGCUAACUACGUG
Molecule: ribosomal RNA, 488 nt
Filed under: uncultured bacterium
Lineage: Bacteria
Description: partial 16S ribosomal RNA
Rfam family: Bacterial small subunit ribosomal RNA
Source: RNAcentral